AGCAGUCGCCGCGGGAAAACGGAGGGUGCAAGCGUUAUCCGGAUUUAUUGGGUUUAAAGGGUCCGUAGGCGGACUUAUAAGUCAGUGGUGAAAGCCUGUCGCUUAACGAUAGAACUGCCAUUGAUACUGUAAGUCUUGAGUAUAUUUGAGGUAGCUGGAAUAAGUAGUGUAGCGGUGAAAUGCAUAGAUAUUACUUAGAACACCAAUUGCGAAGGCAGGUUACCAAGAUAUAACUGACGCUGAGGGACGAAAGCGUGGGUAGCGAACAGGAUUAGAUACCCCCGUAGUCCCUGUCUCUUAUAC
Molecule: ribosomal RNA, 303 nt
Filed under: uncultured bacterium
Lineage: Bacteria
Description: partial 16S ribosomal RNA
Rfam family: Bacterial small subunit ribosomal RNA
Source: RNAcentral